AAUGAACGUUGGCGGCAUGGAUUAGGCAUGCAAGCCGAGCGAGAAGAGUUUUGAAGCUUGCUUUAGAACUCGGACAGCGGCGAAAGGGAGAGUAACGCGUAGUUAUGUGCCCUAGGGUCCGGAAUAGCCACGGGAAACUGUGGGUAAUGCCGGAUAAUAUCCCCGGAUCAAAGGUGUGAUUCCGCCCUAGGAGCAGACUGCGUACUACUAGCUAGUUGGUGGGGUAAUGGCCUACCAAGGCAACGAUGGGUAGCGGGUGUGAGAGCAUGACCCGUCUCACUGGGACUGAGACACGGCCCAGAAACCUACGGGUGGCUGCAGUCGAGAAUCUUCGGCAAUGGGCGAAAGCCUGACCGAGCGAUGCCGCGUGCGGGAUGAAGGCCCUCGGGUUGUAAACCGCUGUCGUAGGGGAGGAGGGUUCCGUGAAGAGCGGAAUUUGACCUAUCCUAGGAGGAAGUACGGGCUAAGUUCGUGCCAGCCGCCGCCGUAA
This 490-nucleotide ribosomal RNA is filed under the name uncultured bacterium. RNAcentral's name for it is "partial 16S ribosomal RNA". It matches the Rfam family "Bacterial small subunit ribosomal RNA", at positions 29 to 523 of the family's 1533-position model. The record is from RNAcentral.